AUAGAGUUGAUAGAAGGCAAAUGAAAGUAUGAUGGUGUUCCAGUUCACAAACUUGGUGGCUUUAGACAACAGGCACGGAUUCCCUCACAGCUCCCCAGGCCGUGAGUCCCAGUCAAGGUGUGACCAGCCUCCUUCACUCGACAGGUGCUCAGAGGCUCCCUGGAAUUUCAGAAGAGGGCUGGCAACUCUAUUAGGAGUUUCAAGACAAGAGGGAGCCAGAGGUUAAUACGAAGGAUGUAAAGCCAUGGCAAUUGCAACAACAACAAAAAUAAACAAAUGGGAUUUCAUUAAACUGAAAAGCUUCUGUACAGCUAAGGAGACAAUAACCAAAGCAAAGAGACAACCUACACAAUGGGAAAGGAUAUUUGCAUAUUUUGAAUCAGACAAAAGCUUGAUAACUGGAAUCUAUAGAGAACUCAAAUUCAUCCACGUGAAAAAAGCCAACAAUUCCAUAUAUCAAUGGGCAAGAGACAUGAAUAGAACUUUCUCUAAAGAAGACAGAUGAAUGGCUAACAAACACAUGAAAAAAUGUUCAUCAUCCCUAUCUUUUAGAGAAAUGCAAAUCAAAACCACCCUGAGAUACCAUCUAACCCCAGUGAGAAUGGCCCACAUCACAAAAUCUCAAAACUGCAGAUGCUGGCGUGGAUGUGGAGAGAA
Molecule: long non-coding RNA, 657 nt
Organism: Nycticebus coucang (slow loris)
Lineage: Eukaryota; Metazoa; Chordata; Mammalia; Primates; Lorisidae
Exons: 3
Source: RefSeq, a predicted model, not a curated record